UUUAAAGUGGUACGCGAGCUGGGUUUAGAACGUCGUGAGACAGUUCGGUCCCUAUCUGCCGUGGGCGCUGGAGAAUUGAGGGGGGCUGCUCCUAGUACGAGAGGACCGGAGUGGACGCAUCACUGGUGUUCGGGUUGUCAUGCCAAUGGCACUGCCCGGUAGCUAAAUGCGGAAGAGAUAAGUGCUGAAAGCAUCUAAGCACGAAACUUGCCCCGAGAUGAGUUCUCCCUGAGACUAUAAGUCUCCUGAAGGAACGUUGAAGACGACGACGUGAUAGGCCGGGUGUGUAAGCGCAGCGAUGCGUUGAGCUAACCGGUACUAAUGAACCGUGAGGCUUAACCUUACAACGCCGAAG
This 355-nucleotide ribosomal RNA is filed under the name Klebsiella pneumoniae. RNAcentral's name for it is "bacterial LSU rRNA". It matches the Rfam family "Bacterial large subunit ribosomal RNA", at positions 2587 to 2925 of the family's 2925-position model. The record is from RNAcentral. Lineage: Bacteria; Pseudomonadati; Pseudomonadota; Gammaproteobacteria; Enterobacterales; Enterobacteriaceae.